Molecule: ribosomal RNA, 253 nt
Filed under: uncultured bacterium
Lineage: Bacteria
Description: partial 16S ribosomal RNA
Rfam family: Bacterial small subunit ribosomal RNA
Source: RNAcentral
UACGUAGGGGGCAAGCGUUGUUCGGAAUCAUUGGGCGUAAAGAGCGUGUAGGCGGUCCGGUAAGUCGGCUGUGAAAGUCCAGGGCUCAACCCUGGGAUGCCGGUCGAUACUGCCGGACUAGAGUCCGGGAGAGGCAAGUGGAAUUCCCGGUGUAGCGGUGAAAUGCGCAGAUAUCGGGAGGAACACCAGUGGCGAAGGCGGCAUCCUGGACCGACACUGACGCUGAGGAGCGAAAGCCAGGGGAGCAAACGGG